Molecule: ribosomal RNA, 390 nt
Filed under: Triticum aestivum (bread wheat)
Lineage: Eukaryota; Viridiplantae; Streptophyta; Magnoliopsida; Poales; Poaceae
Description: partial small subunit ribosomal RNA
Source: RNAcentral
AUGCACCGUGGCGGACCUGGAGAUACGGCAUAUCCGGGUGGACAGCUACAAGCAGGACGGCGGCCGCACGCACGAGCAAGAGCAGCAGCACAUGAACUCCGGCGGCGGCGGCGGGCGCAAGCUGAAGCAGAUGCCGAUGAUCAUGGCGGUGUGGGUGUACAACCACUGCCCGUGCAUGGUGGACAACGUGGUGAUCUACGCGCCCCACGGCUUCUCCACCAUCUACGCCAACGGGACCGACGAGAGGAUCUUCUCCAAGGUGCGGGAGCACCUCUACCUCAUCCACAACGCCGGCCCGCUCCUGCCAGCGGCGAGCUGCCCGCGUUUCCCACCCUCUCCGCCCUCUGCCGCCGGCCCGGUCGAUGGGAAGGCGCAAACUCAAGAUUUUAG